AAAGGAAUUGACGGGGACCCGCACAAGCGGUGGAGCAUGUGGUUUAAUUCGAAGCAACGCGAAGAACCUUACCAAAUCUUGACAUCCUUAUGACCGGCACGUAAAAGUGCCCUCUCUUCGGAGCAUAAGUGACAGGUGGUGCAUGGUUGUCGUCAGCUCGUGUCGUGAGAUGUUGGGUUAAGUCCCUCAACGAGCGCAACCCUUAUCUUUAGUAGCCAGCAGUUCGGCUGGGCACUCUAGAGAGACUGCCGGGGAUAACCUGGAGGAAGGUGGGGAUGACGUCAAAUCAUCAUGCCCCUUAUGAUUUGGGCUACACACGUGCUACAAUGGCGUAAACAAAGGGAAGCUACCCUGUGAAGGUAAGCAAACCCCAAAAAUAACGUCUCAGUUCGGAUUGUAGUCUGCAACUCGACUACAUGAAGCUGGAAUCGCUAGUAAUCGUGAAUCAGAAUGUCACGGUGAAUACGUUCCCGGGUCUUGCACACACCGCCCGU
RNAcentral lists this ribosomal RNA (494 nucleotides) under uncultured bacterium. RNAcentral's name for it is "bacterial SSU rRNA". It matches the Rfam family "Bacterial small subunit ribosomal RNA", at positions 903 to 1397 of the family's 1533-position model. The record is from RNAcentral.